Xiphophorus hellerii (green swordtail) is the source of this 1260-nucleotide long non-coding RNA. RefSeq lists it as uncharacterized. The transcript is spliced from 3 exons. Lineage: Eukaryota; Metazoa; Chordata; Actinopteri; Cyprinodontiformes; Poeciliidae. The record is from RefSeq and is a predicted model, not a curated record.
CUCCACCAGAUCACCAACCAGUUCUGAGGAUGCACCUCCACAUCGUCUUCAUGGUGUAAGGCAUUUUUUUUUUUUUUACUGAGCAGCUGGCUACAUUUUUAACAGCAGAAACUGGUGUGUUGCCACUGCCAGCACUAAGUGCUUAAUAAACAUGAUUUGAUUUAAAAAAUAAUUGGACAGAAUUUAUUCCCCUUGUUAAUCUACCAUUUCUCUUUCAUACAUUUUAUUCAUUGUUAGCUUUCAGGGCCCUGUGAUGGACUGGUGACCUGUCCAAGGUGAACCCUGCCUCUCAUUUUUUGACUGCUGGAGAUGGGCACCACUAGCCCCCCUCACCACCCUGCAAGAAUCAACGUGUUCAAAUCAUGGAUGGAAAGCUUUUAAGGCAAAGAAGACACCUGAAAUGUUUUCCACCCCAGGCAUCCAGUCCCAAUCAUCAUCAGUUCUGAUGAUGCCACAUACAUAGCGAGUCCACAACGCUAUGCUAAAAUUGUUUCUGUAAAGUGUAGUCGUGCAGUGAAUAGGAAUGUUCUGUCGUUGAUCUUCACUGUUGUUAGGAAGGAGAAAUUUCAGUUUGUCUGGAGUAAUUCUGGAAUACUUUGACAUUGUAUUAAAACAAUACUCUGUCCUUGUUGAAAUAUUUUUCACAUGUCCUCUAAAGUGUACGGAUUGUUUUAUUGUGCUAAUUUUCAUAAGCAUGUUGUCUGUAAACUUUGAAUGUGUUGACAAUUGUACAAUGCUGUUAUAGUAUAUUGGCAAUGUACUCUUGAAAAAUGUGGGUAACACUUUAUUUGACAGGAUGUGCAUAAGACUGACAUGAUACUGUCAUAAACAUGACAUAACACCUGUUAGGAACAUACUAACAGGUGUCAUGAAAUGUCAUUCAGUAAAUAAUGGGAGAACUUCCACUGUUGUGAGGCGGCAGCUUGGCAACAGAAGAAACGGAAGAUAAGUGGCGACACUGUUAUAAAAUGUAUUUAGUUAUUAGCGGCUCCCUUGACAGAAGCACAAGGCAUGUUUAUUUUGUAACUAGAAUAUUUCUAAUAUUGAUCAACUGUAAUUGUAAUUUUUGCUUUAUUGUAAUCAAGUACGGUAUAGUUUUUGAAUCGGUUGAUGUUAUUAGUAGUGAAUGUUGUUUUCAAACGUUAUGGUUGUAAGAGAGUGUUAUACUGUCUUUUUGUGUUUGUGUUUGUGCUACAGCUCUUACGGUGAAACUCAGGAUUUACUUCCAAUAAGCCUCACUGUUCAUCAGUAAAGCCAAAA